GGAAAGACUCGGGAACGGGAACUUCAUUGAUCCCGAUCCCUUGGCUGCCAUGGCAUAAUCGCGGUAAUUCUGAGACUAAUACAAGAACGUACCACCUAACCGACCGGGCAACUGGGAGGUUGGGGGUCGUGUGGGCUUAAGCUGCAAUCGAUCGAAUGAAUACACACACGAUCAAACCACCAUAAACAACGAUCGGUGAGUCUCAGUCUUAUACCCGAGAGGGGAAAGCGUGGCUCUAGUUCGGGUGGGCCCAGUAAUGCGCUUCUGACCUAUCAACUAUAAUGCGAUUCCAUGGACUGCGAUGGUCACAACGGGUACAGAGGAUAAGGGUUCGAUCCUGGAGAGUGGGCCUGAGAGAUU
Molecule: ribosomal RNA, 360 nt
Filed under: Physarum album
Lineage: Eukaryota; Evosea; Eumycetozoa; Physariida; Physaraceae
Description: SSU rRNA
Rfam family: Eukaryotic small subunit ribosomal RNA
Source: RNAcentral